GUUCAUCUUCGGGGCAGGGUGUAAUUCCCGACCGGUGGUUAAAGUCCACGAACUGUUUCUUUUUGAGAUGGUUGAUUUGGUGUAAUUCCAAAACCGACAGUAUAGUCUGGAUGGGAGGAGAUGUUG
Molecule: non-coding RNA, 126 nt
Organism: Listeriaceae bacterium FSL A5-0209
Lineage: Bacteria; Bacillati; Bacillota; Bacilli; Caryophanales; Listeriaceae
Source: Rfam